AACGAACGCUGGCGGCACGCCUAAUACAUGCAAGUCGUACGAGAAAGUUGGGCAACCGAUGAGUACAGUGGCGCACGGGUGAGUAACACGUAGGUGACCUGCCCUUUAGAGUGGGAUAACAGGAAGAAGUUUCUGCUAAUACCACAUACGUUGAGAGAAAGUGAAAUUAUCUCAGGAAAGAUGGCGACCCUUUUAUUAGGAGCUAUCGCUAAAGGAAGGGCCUGCGGGCCAUUAGCUAGUUGGUGGGGUAAAGGCCUACCAAGGCGAUGAUGGAUAGCCGGUCUGAGAGGAUGAUCGGCACACUGGAACUGAGACACGGUCCAGACUCCUACGGGAGCAGCAGUAGGGAAUCUUGCGCAAUGGGGCAACCCUGACGCAGCGAUGCCGCGUGAGUGAGG
Molecule: ribosomal RNA, 398 nt
Filed under: uncultured bacterium
Lineage: Bacteria
Description: bacterial SSU rRNA
Rfam family: Bacterial small subunit ribosomal RNA
Source: RNAcentral